UAAUUUGCCCGUUUGAGUAUU
RNAcentral lists this non-coding RNA (21 nucleotides) under Caenorhabditis elegans. Lineage: Eukaryota; Metazoa; Nematoda; Chromadorea; Rhabditida; Rhabditidae. The record is from RNAcentral.